AGCAGCCGCCGCGGUAAUACAAAGGGGGCUAGCGUUGCUCGGAAUCACUGGGCGUAAAGGGUGCGUAGGCGGGUCUUUAAGUCAGGGGUGAAAUCCUGGAGCUCAACUCCAGAACUGCCUUUGAUACUGAAGAUCUUGAGUUCGGGAGAGGUGAGUGGUACUGCGAGUGUAGAGGUGAGAUUCGUAGAUAUUCGCAAGAACACCAGUGGCGAAGGCGGCUCACUGGCCCGAUACUGACGCUGAGGCACGAAAGCGUGGGGAGCAAACAGGAUUAGAUACCCCGGUAGUCCCUGUCUCUUAUAC
This 303-nucleotide ribosomal RNA is filed under the name uncultured bacterium. RNAcentral's name for it is "partial 16S ribosomal RNA". It matches the Rfam family "Bacterial small subunit ribosomal RNA", at positions 507 to 807 of the family's 1533-position model. The record is from RNAcentral.